RNAcentral lists this ribosomal RNA (282 nucleotides) under uncultured Ascomycota. RNAcentral's name for it is "partial 18S ribosomal RNA". It matches the Rfam family "Eukaryotic small subunit ribosomal RNA", at positions 548 to 835 of the family's 1831-position model. Lineage: Eukaryota; Fungi; Ascomycota. The record is from RNAcentral.
UUGGAGGGCAAGUCUGGUGCCAGCAGCCGCGGUAAUUCCAGCUCCAAUAGCGUAUAUUAAAGUUGUUGCCGUUAAAAAGCUCGUAGUUGAACCUUGGGCCUGGCUGACCUGUCCUCCUAAUCGAGCGCACGGGUUCGGUCGGGCCUUUCCUUCUGGGGAUCCCGAUGCCCUUCACUGGGCGUUGUGGGGAACCAGGACCUUUACCUUGAAAAAAAUUAGAGUGUUCAAAGCAGGCCUUUGCUCGAAUACAUUAGCAUGGAAUAAUAGAAUAGGACAGAGGUU